GGGGUUGUGGCUCAGUGGUAGAGCGCUUGCCUAGCAUGUAUGAGGCACUGGGUUCGGUCCUCAGCACCA
RNAcentral lists this transfer RNA (69 nucleotides) under Ictidomys tridecemlineatus (thirteen-lined ground squirrel). Its description in RNAcentral is "Spermophilus tridecemlineatus (thirteen-lined ground squirrel) tRNA". It matches the Rfam family "tRNA". Rfam says of the family: Transfer RNA (tRNA) molecules are approximately 80 nucleotides in length. Their secondary structure includes four short double-helical elements and three loops (D, anti-codon, and T loops). RNAcentral also lists the same sequence under 1 other name. Lineage: Eukaryota; Metazoa; Chordata; Mammalia; Rodentia; Sciuridae. The record is from Rfam by way of RNAcentral.